AUUGAACGCUGGCGGCAUGCCUUACACAUGCAAGUCGAACGGCAGCACGGGAGCAAUCCUGGUGGCGAGUGGCGAACGGGUGAGUAAUAUAUCGGAACGUGCCCGGUCGUGGGGAUAACGUAGCGAAAGCUACGCUAAUACCGCAUACGAUCUACGGAUGAAAGCGGGGGAUCGCAAGACCUCGCGCGAUUGGAGCGGCCGAUAUCAGAUUAGGUAGUUGGUGAGGUAAAGGCUCACCAAGCCGACGAUCUGUAGCUGGUCUGAGAGGACGACCAGCCACACUGGAACUGAGACACGGUCCAGACUCCUACGGGAGGCAGCAGUGGGGAAUUUUGGACAAUGGACGCAAGCCUGAUCCAGCCAUGCCGCGUGCAGGAUGACGGUCCUAUGGAUUGUAAACUGCUUUUAUACAGGAAGAAACACUCCGACGUGUCGGAGCUUGACGGUACUGUAAGAAUAAGGAUCGGCUAACUCCGU
This 477-nucleotide ribosomal RNA is filed under the name uncultured bacterium. Its description in RNAcentral is "bacterial SSU rRNA". It matches the Rfam family "Bacterial small subunit ribosomal RNA", at positions 30 to 506 of the family's 1533-position model. The record is from RNAcentral.